Molecule: ribosomal RNA, 569 nt
Filed under: uncultured bacterium
Lineage: Bacteria
Description: partial 16S ribosomal RNA
Rfam family: Bacterial small subunit ribosomal RNA
Source: RNAcentral
UGGGGAAUUUUGGACAAUGGGCGAAAGCCUGAUCCAGCAAUGCCGCGUGUGUGAAGAGGGCCUUCGGGUUGUAAAGCACUUUUGUCCGGAAAGAAAUCCUUGGCUCUAAUACAGUCGGGGGAUGACGGUACCGGAAGAAUAAGCACCGGCUAACUACGUGCCAGCAGCCGCGGUAAUACGUAGGGUGCAAGCGUUAAUCGGAAUUACUGGGCGUAAAGCGUGCGCAGGCGGUUUGCUAAGACCGAUGUGAAAUCCCCGGGCUCAACCUGGGAACUGCAUUGGUGACUGGCAGGCUAGAGUAUGGCAGAGGGGGGUAGAAUUCCACGUGUAGCAGUGAAAUGCGUAGAGAUGUGGAGGAAUACCGAUGGCGAAGGCAGCCCCCUGGGCCAAUACUGACGCUCAUGCACGAAAAGCGUGGGGAGCAAAACAGGAUUAGAUACCCUGGUAGUCCACGCCCUAAAACGAUGUCAACUAGUUGUUGGGGAUUCAUUUCCUUAGUAACGUAGCUAACGCGUGAAGUUGACCGCCUGGGGAGUACGGUCGCAAGAUUAAAACUCAAAGGAAUUGAC